GAUGAACGCUGGCGGCGUGCUUAACACAUGCAAGUCGAACGGGAAAUAUUUCAUUGAGACUUCGGUGGAUUUGAUUUAUUUCUAGUGGCGGACGGGUGAGUAACGCGUGGGUAACCUGCCUUAUACAGGGGGAUAACAGUCAGAAAUGGCUGCUAAUACCGCAUAAGCGCACAGAGCUGCAUGGCUCAGUGUGAAAAACUCCGGUGGUAUAAGAUGGACCCGCGUUGGAUUAGCUAGUUGGUGGGGUAACGGCCCACCAAGGCGACGAUCCAUAGCCGGCCUGAGAGGGUGAACGGCCACAUUGGGACUGAGACACGGCCCAGACUCCUACGGGAGGCAGCAGUGGGGAAUAUUGCACAAUGGGGGAAACCCUGAUGCAGCGACGCCGCGUGAAGGAAGAAGUAUCUCGGUAUGUAAACUUCUAUCAGCAGGGAAGAUAGUGACGGUACCUGACUAAGAAGCCCCGGCUAACUACGU
Molecule: ribosomal RNA, 477 nt
Filed under: uncultured bacterium
Lineage: Bacteria
Description: partial 16S ribosomal RNA
Rfam family: Bacterial small subunit ribosomal RNA
Source: RNAcentral